GGGGUCUUCCGGAGCCUCCGGUCGCGGGUCUAAGAGGACUAGGGCGGGAGCGGCGCGGAAGAAAGAGAGGACUGCGUUUUGGGGCGUUCUGUCAGAGGGGAAGGACGUGUGGAUUGGAGUCAGACUGCACUCCCGCCCUAUUUCUGCAAGUAGAACUCACUGCCUUUAGAAACGGUCUUCUGAGGCUCUGUUGGGAGGCUCUAACUGUAUUACAGAGGACACAUUUUUGUUUGUUUUUAUGUGAAACAUUCAGAAGUUGCUUGCAUCAAGUGCUUUACAAGUACACUGGUUUUCAAACUUUUAAAGUUGAGGAACUGUUUUGAUUUUUGUAAAAAUAGAACUUUACUUGGAAGCCCAAGGUCGCUUAGAAACUAGUACUCUCAGAACAUGGAGUGGAAGAGGUGAUCAUGGUAGCAACAGACUGAGGAGUGAAUUUGAACUUGAGUUUUGUCUUGCUGUUUUUCAUUGAUGGAACCCAACUGGAAAUCAGAAUACAAGGGCACUCGAUUAAUUCAGUUCACAGAGGACUUCUUCCUGUGGCACGGAGCAUGGUGGGGAAAGGUGGUCUUAAUAUGCUGUUGCUGAAAGAAUGAAUUUCUUCUAGGUGUGCAUGAAACUGAGUAGGGCUGAAGAUCACCGAAGAAUGCAGACACAGAAAGGGUGAAUCCUGGAUGGUCUGGAUUUAGAACAUUCAAAUAAAAUCUUAUGGUGAUUGAGAUUGAUUUACCUAAACGAUCAUCUAAAGAACUAUGAAAUAAACCUAUAGUGACUUUUUUUUAGCAUUUUGGAGGCCCCAAUCUUUCUUUAAUGAGAACUACCAUUCUAAGGACACUGGAUAUUCUUCUGAUUGUAAAAUCAUUUUGCUAUGGGCAGAACACACAUCUGUGUAAUUUUUAAAUUCUAAGAUAAGUACUCAAUUUUCUUAUUUUAACAAAGAUUCAGAAUGUGUCUCUUUAACCAAAAAGAGUUAUAUCAUAAAAUCUUUUAAAAAUGUAUGCUUUUACAUUGGUUUUGUC
Molecule: long non-coding RNA, 1016 nt
Filed under: Homo sapiens (human)
Lineage: Eukaryota; Metazoa; Chordata; Mammalia; Primates; Hominidae
Description: HSALNT0335693
Source: RNAcentral